This 626-nucleotide ribosomal RNA is filed under the name Mycobacterium sp. So2Pw_998. RNAcentral describes it as "bacterial SSU rRNA". It matches the Rfam family "Bacterial small subunit ribosomal RNA", at positions 387 to 1024 of the family's 1533-position model. The record is from RNAcentral. Lineage: Bacteria; Bacillati; Actinomycetota; Actinomycetes; Mycobacteriales; Mycobacteriaceae.
UGCAGCGACGCCGCGUGGGGGAGACGGCCUUCGGGUUGUAAACCCCUUUCAGCACAGACGAAGCGCAAGUGACGGUAUGUGCAGAAGAAGCACCGGCCAACUACGUGCCAGCAGCCGCGGUAAUACGUAGGGUGCGAGCGUUGUCCGGAAUUACUGGGCGUAAAGAGCUCGUAGGUGGUUUGUCACGUUGUUCGUGAAAACCCACAGCUCAACUGUGGGCGUGCGAGCGAUACGGGCAGACUAGAGUACUGCAGGGGAGACUGGAAUUCCUGGUGUAGCGGUGGAAUGCGCAGAUAUCAGGAGGAACACCGGUGGCGAAGGCGGGUCUCUGGGCAGUAACUGACGCUGAGGAGCGAAAGCGUGGGGAGCGAACAGGAUUAGAUACCCUGGUAGUCCACGCCGUAAACGGUGGGUACUAGGUGUGGGUUUCCUUCCUUGGGAUCCGUGCCGUAGCUAACGCAUUAAGUACCCCGCCUGGGGAGUACGGCCGCAAGGCUAAAACUCAAAGAAAUUGACGGGGGCCCGCACAAGCGGCGGAGCAUGUGGAUUAAUUCGAUGCAACGCGAAGAACCUUACCUGGGUUUGACAUGCACAGGACGCUGGUAGAGAUAUCAGUUCCCUUGUGG